AAUACAACAAUAUGAAGAAAUUGAAGAAGGCAGGAGUUUAAGGUCCUUAUCUGUUCCUCAGUGUUUCAAGUUACAGAAGUGAAGAAUUUCAAUUUCAAUUCAUUUGAGGGAGUGUGCUCCUAGACAUUAAUUCAUAAUGAAUUGGCGCACUUAUUUUUUUAUUAUUAUUACUAAUUUACUUUCAAGGACAUAAAAGCAUGCCACAGAGGUAUAAAAUUAAAUACCACUUCAAAUUUUUCAUUUCAUAGUUGUCUUUUCUCAAGCUAGCCAUUAAUUCCUGGUGAUUGAUAACAGUUUCUAAAAGCAGUUACUUUCACAAAUAUUCUCUAAAAAUCCAGUGUUUGGCAGAAGACAAAAAAAAAAAAAAAAAAAAAAACUUGAACAUGCAAAUGUGUGUGUUUUAACAAGAAAAAAUGAUUUGCUUUCCAAAGAUCCAUAAAUACUAAUUUAGUUCAUUAACUGUUGAGAUUACCGAUAAAGCUCUCCUUGGUUUCAAUACAGGUGAAAAUACUAAAAUUUAAAAUACCCUGCUGUUGAGAAUAUGAGCAUCUCUAGAGCCUUUUUUUUUUCUAUUUUCAUUCCUUGUGCAACUCAAUUCUGUAUUCAGAAAAGUGUCACCUUUGCCAUUUUAUCAUUUUUUAUGACAUAACCGUACAAUACUUUACUUAUUCCCAAUUCCAUAAGGCAAAAGAAAAAGAAGAUAAUUCACAUUUACUGAUUUGUAAAGAAGUUAAACCUGAGACAGGUAUGCAACUGAGCUGGGUAUACCUUAAAUGAAUUCUGUCAAUGAACUUAGUGAUACAAAGGGCCAAAUUUGCCUCAAAUUCAUGAGUACAUGCUCAGACAUACAUUUCCAUAUCUGGAAACAAUUCUUGUGAAAUUCUGAAGAGGAAAAAUGUGUAUGCAUCUCUGUUUUCCUUGGUUUUCCUUGCAUUCAAGCAUGAAUUUACAUAAAAUAUGGAGUGUGUAAAUGUGAGGCCUGAUUUACCAUUUCAUAGACUAAGUCAGAAUCACAGAAGGGCUUGGGUUGGAAGGAUGCUUAGAGAUUUGCUUCAGCUCCUCUGCCAUGAGCAGGGUUGCCACCUACUAGAUACGGCUGACCAAUUUCCACUGUAUUUCAUCUGCUUCAGUGGCAUAUGUUUAUAUGCUACCAUUUGUUGAAGUCAUCAUAUGCUGACUAUGGACAUGCAAACUGCCUCCGUGUCCCUUCAACCAGUAUUUAUAUUUAACUGUUCAAAGCCAUACCAAAGUGAGGAACUUGAUCCCAGGCUAAGAACCUGUCCUUAGCCUAGUUUUCCUGCCACUGGUUUGUCUGUUCCUGCCCAAGGCAAGUGCUGUACUGGCAAACUUGAACUUUGUCUUUCAUUUCAAGGAUGAUUAUACUCCUUUGGACAGAUAAUAAGCAUAACUUUUUUUCAUCAACUUUACAUGAGAUGCUUACAUGCUAUCUGGUGAGCUUCAAGAAGACAAGCUGUUCUGUUUGACCAAAAUAUGAAAUUGUCCUUUUACCUGAGGCAUCGCUAUUACAGAUAGCAUGGUCAGAAAACACUAGGUUAUUAAUCUGAAUUUAAAGUGCAGUAAAGGGCAUUAACUGUCAUACCUCUCAGUCAGAAUUCAGAUCUUCUAAAGUUAAAAUUUGGAUAACAUCUUACAUGUCAUCUACUUCAAACCAAAGCACCUGCAUGAUGACUUCAGAGUUAUGUCACCAGUCAUUUCUGCCCUCACACACAGAAAAAAAAUGUUUCCUAUUUCACCUCUCUACUUUUUAACCAUUUAUUCCUCUUUUGCCUGGAAUAAAUGUCUUUGCGCCUGUUCUGCAGUGCAAGUUAUUUCUGUAACAAGAAGUUGGAAUUCAUUCUUUAUCCAUAAAACCUGUGGACACCAUGUUCUAAAUCAAGAGAGAAUACAGUCCAAUUCAUUUUGCGGUGGAAAUAAACUUCCUGGAUGUAACUAUUUAAUGCCUUACACCUUCACAGACUGUUAGUCAAUGCUGUGGCAGAGAAUGUGAACUCCAGUCAGUCUCCUGCAUAAAUUAGUAAAUCUAUCUCAAAGAAAAGGAAAAAAUUGUAUUUUAUACAUUCCCACUUUAUUUCUUUAAAGUGGGAAAUGAGGGAAGAAACUUUAACAUCAAUAGUAAGUACACAUAUGUUAUACGUUAAAUAACAGAAUCACUACUUUUGAAAGGAGAUGCCCUCGGAUGUGAAACAAUUAGACCAGUUUUGGAUUUUCAAACUGGAAAACAUCAUGGUAAUGAAUAUUUAGGAGGUAAUCUAGUUAAAGUGUAGAAUGAAUGUCUUUUGUCUUCAUUGUGUCUUUAGUUUGUGUUUAACAAUACAAAUAGAAAAAAAACAUUUAAAAAUAAGAGCUAUAAAAUAAAGGGUGGAAGCAAAUAAGCUUAAUAUCUCUCACAUUAGACAUCUUUAUGUCUUAAUCAAACAGUAGAUAUCAUGUUCAUUUUUACGUAUAGUUUGUCUUGAGUAUGUAAGUAAGUAAAAUGUGAGCUGUAAAUAAAAUCAUUGUUUUAUUUGUACAGAUACGAUUUUCCACUGUUUAUUAUUUCAGAGAUUAUUGAAUGGUAUACAGUUACUAGACAAUGGAAAUAUAGCCAGGCUCCACAAGGCUUAUUUGUUUGGAGUGUUAUAAAAGGAAUGAUUUUUGUAAAGGUCAUCAUGUUUCCAAACAGGAGGAAGUGAUAGGGAAAAUAAAUGUUGAUAUCCGAUUUUUAAAACUUGUGGAAGUCUUUGAUCCUAUGAGACAAUUAAUGCAUUUCUAAUUUUACAUAUGCAUUGUAGGAAAAUAAUGAGAUUGAGAAGAUAUGUGUGAAAAUAUAUCUUUUAAAAUUUUAGUAACAUCUUACAUUUUUGUUAAUAUGAGUCAUUAUCUUUUGUUCAGCAAUGUUCUAAUAAUCUCCAAAGAGAACCUGUACACAAGAUAGUCAUAAAAAAAUUCCUUUGUAUUAUAUGCUUCAUUAACACAUUAGGAAGUAUUACUCCUACAAACAAGAGCAUACCAUUUAAAAAUACAAGCAACGUAUGAAGGCAUGGGAAUGCAAUUAAAUGUGUGUUUUUUGUAUAUAUAUAGGUGUGUGUGUAUGCAUAUACAUACAUGUGUGCAAGCACAUACAUACAUGUGGGCAUACACACAUUUAUGCAUAUGCUCUGACUAUAAAUUGAUAUGAGUUAAACAGUACAGUCUUUAUGCUUUCCCAUUUGUUCUGUAAAGAAGGUAAAUUAUGAACAAUUACCCUUUAAAGUCAUUUGUAGUAUCGUUGUGCAUUUUAUAAUAUGAGUGCUGUCUGUCAAUCUGUUCUAGUUUCUUUAAAAAUAGUUUAAUGCUUGCAGUCACAUAGGUUCGUUAAAACUUAAAUAAGUAGUAUUUUUGAGCUGUGGUCAUAUAUUGUGACAUUAGCUUUUAGGCCACAGAGCAUGCUAGUGUUCUCUACUGCUUCUCUUAAGAGACUGGUUUGAUCAAAAACUCUGACUUGUUAUCUGGAAAGCCUCACUUCUUUUGUUUAGGUGGACAUUUCCCGGAAUUAUGUGUAUUCCACUGCUUCUUCUGAUGUCAUUGGGUUAUGCUUCCAGAUGAGUUGUUGAGUUUUAUUUAGCACAAGCUAGCUGAUAAAGCAUGCUUGGUAUGUUUUGUAGACAGCGAUAUUUCAAAGGUUACAAAAUCUUGAAAAAGUUAUAAGGAACACAGACAAAAAAAGUCCAUCAUUUCCUAUUUUGUAGCAAAGUAUGUUUUUAGGAAGUUUUAUUGCUGCUUCUCUUGUUAUCUGAAGGUUGUUUCAGUCAUUAAUGUAGUGUAAAAUAGUCUAAAUGAUUUUGGACAAUGUAAACCAGAAAUUGAAGGAAGAAUCUGUCUUUGACUCCUCUUUUCUUGGGCAGUUCCAAUUAGUCUUGACUGAAUGUGUAACAGAGCAGCUCUACUAGCUGUGGAUCGAUAAUUACAGGGUGUGUAAUUCCAUUUGUACAGAGGAAGGAUGUCUACUUUUACCAGCUAACAGUGUGACUGCUUUGUCCUGAUGCAGUAGUACAAAACUACAGAAGGAAGCCCCUUGCCUAGCACAUUGCUUUGCCACAGUCUUUGGAAACUGUACGUCUUUUGGAGUCCUCUUUAAUCUGGGUACCUCAACUGUUUUGUUGGAUUAUCCAAAUAGUUUCUGUUAAAUCAGUUGAAUGAGAACCUGGAUUCCAAUCUGUAGAGCAAGUUGGAAGAACGCAGAUCACAUGAGAGUCCAGUCAAGUUAUCUAAGUGUUUAUUAUUUGGAUAUGAUUCAUCUAAAUGAUAGCUGUGUUUCUCAGAAAUUCAUAUACUAUAUUCUCAUUAAUUUAGUAGGUUAAGUAAUUUAUGAACACGUAUGAUAUAUUUAUUUUUAGUCAUAUACAUAUCUGUCAGUGAUACAUGUACUAUACAAUUCAAAUAAGUGGAAGGAAUAUAACUUGGCUUCACCCUGGAAUGCAUAUGAUGACCGUUGCCAGGAAGUUUAGUUAUGUUAAAAAGGCAUUGGAAUGUGCUAUCAGGAUACUGCAACUUGGGAACUUGUACUUCCAAUUGGUAGUACUAUACUUCCUUUCAUUUCAUGCUCAUUGGUUACUAAUCAGUAAAAAGUAAAAAAUAUGUAUAACAUUAAAACAUAUUUCACCAAUGUGAUUUUGAUAAUGAACUUCGACAGGUUGUUUUUUAUUAUGGAAAUAUUUAUCCAUUUCCAUUCAAAUCGCAAGUAGAAAUAACACUUCGUACUUGAACGAGAAUAAGACAUAAAAUGGUGUUGUGGUUAUGUCUUAUUAUUGAAAGCUAAAUAUCAGGAAUCCAUUUAAUAUUUUCUAGUUUUCAUCUUUCUGAUUCUUCACAAUUAUGAAACUCGUUAUUCCAAGUGAAAAUACAUAGCAGAGCAUUCUUAUAGUUUGUUAUUAUUUGUGCUAAUUGGAAAAUAGAACUUGAGAUUUUGGAAAGUGGUAAUUCUAAGAUUGCCUUUGACUUAAUUAUGUGGGCUUAUUAAAAUAUUUCAACAUAAUAAUAAACCAAAUUUCUUAGAUAUUGUAUAUUAACAGCAUUGAAGACAAAAAUGUAUGUAAUUGAAUAAAAUUUACACUGCUUCAGAUCAAUGGUGCUUUUAAAUAUCUGUGUGUGAGUUAAGAGAAAGCACUGUGAGAGUAGAAUGCUAAUUUUAAACUUUAAAUAUAAUUAAAUAACUAGAGUUAAGUAGAGUAAGUUUAAGUUACUAGUUAUUUAAGGGCAAUUAAAAGUACACUGAACUGUAGCUAAUAGCUUUUUGUUAGCUGUUUUCAUCUUUUAUAAAUUAGCUAUUUUCAUUGAAAAAAAUAAAUAAAGUAGCAUCAGCUCCCAGGAAGCUGUUUGUAAAUUUUAUGCUGUUUGUAAACAUUCAUUUCUAAACUAAAACAUCUUUAAUAUAUCUGUGCUGUGAAAGGGAUUAAUAACCUCUUUCUAAAUCUGAUGUUCCUUCAGUCCUACCAUCUGAAUUGCCAUGUUUACAAUAAGAUACACAUAGUACAUAUCUUCUGGCCUUCAAAUUUGUAUGCCAGAUUAGGGAAGCAGUUUCUUAAACCAUGUGGCACGGGCAAAACUGACAGAAUUAAACAUUUCUAAAGAAUUUAAGGUCUGUGUGAUGAAAUGUGGUGAAAAUGUGUUACAGAAACAAGUAGUGUGGAAAAGAAUCUAUCUUUUAAAAUCAGAAUUCUCUGGCUUUGUUUCUUAUUAUUUAGCGUGAGCUCACACAACAGAACUCUCACAUUGAAAUAUUUUCUCAUUUUAAGGAAUUAAUGGCUCUCCACCAGCCCUCUAACAUGUAAAAUGAGUAGGUUACUUGUGUCCAGUACAUCCAAAAAGAGCCAGGAUAAAAUAAACAUGAGGAGUUGGAUAUCUUGGAAAAAAUCUGUCAUGGGUUUGGGUUAAUCAUCUCCAGAAGAAAUUCAACUUGAUGCCUGAAACGUAAGACUUCUUGGAGAAAGCAGUAAAGCCUGAGGCAGUGUUGAUCUGAAGGAGUGCUCUCCAUGGGUCAGAGCUGCUCUGCUGGCAGAGUGCAAACCUAGUUCACAACAGCGGUACACUGAAAAGUUGUAAAGGACUGCAGGGGCCUUACAGUGCACGCACUCAAGCUUCAGUUACAUAGUUUCAGUGGUCCAGUUUCUUACUAUAAAACAAAACUAAAAAAUAAAAUCUGGGCCUAAUUUUCCAGCCUCCUGUCUAUCAAUAAUAAUGUAGGUUUUUUUUCCACUAUUCAUGGAAUGAAGCAAUUCUGAAAUUACAGUGUAGGUUUAAAAAUGAAUGCAUAAAAUGUCAUUUAUGUACAUUCAUGCAGUAAAGUUCAGCAUGUGAAUACUUAUAAAUUAUAUAAACAUAUGAUAUUGUUAUUAAUAUUUUUACUUCCAACAUUCAAUGAAAUUAAAAAAAAAAAAAAAAGAGAGGUAAUAAGGUUUUAUCUUUGCCUGAAGAUCUUCAAUAGAAAACUUUGGCUACAGAUACUUAAUAUUAUAAACUCUCACUGUGUUUCUAGUCUUCAGGGUUCCACUGUUCUAAUGUUAUGGGUUUCCAAUUUUGACCACAUAUUUCACCUGUUUGUGUGUUAUCUCUUUGUUCCCAUUUCUACCGUUUUGUAGACUUGUGAUUUAUGGUGGUAUAUAUUCUCUGACCUAGAGAUAUUAUUUGUUCCAACAAAUUUAUUUAGAUUUUUAUACUAUACAUAAGCUCUGUCACCUUUGCUUUCCCAUCAUAGUAGUUUACCAACCUUUAACUAAAAGGAGCUUCACAUUAAGGGGGAAGAAAAUGUACUACUGAUAUUUUGCUAAUGACUACCCAGUGAUGAGUUCAGAAGGAAUGAAAUUUCACUCAAAAUGUCAUCAGAGGUUGAUAACUAGUUUAUGUCAUUGUUGAAUAAGGUAGCUCAAUAGUUUGGAUAGUUUUAUUUUUAUCGUCCGAGUUUUUUGCACUCCUUUUUUUCUGUUUUCCUUGAACUAUGUGUGCAAAAUCUAGAUAGUAUAGCUAUCUGCUCAGCCAGCAUCAACAUAAAUAAGUUGACUCCAUAUUCAGAUCCACAGCAUUUUAUUCUACAUAAGGCAAUCAUUUUGGAUGAAAAGACCCCUGAGCGCUGAAGCAUUUCAAAUCCUUUUCCAUUUGACCAUUCAAUGACCUGAUAACUAUUUCCUGUCCCUAAGUAAGGUUGUGACCCAGGUCUUAGAGUGCAAAAGACAGAUAAUUUUAGAAACAAGUUAAAUCCAAAUGGAUUUGGUUGGAGGGGGUAAGGAAGAGAAAAUUUGGCUAAAUUCCUCUAAAAUAAAGUGCCAAAACAUUUGGAUUUAGUAAGCCUAGUUGAAAGCAAUUAUUGAAUUUAUUGCCAUUUGUUUGGAUGUCUGGAGACUGUGAUCAAUAUUGAAAUUGUUUGUUUGUUUUGCUUUUACUCUAAAAUAUCCAAAUGCUAGUUAUUCUUUUUACACUGAAAAAAAAAAAAUUGCUAAUGAAGAUGUCAUUAAAAGUGCAUUUUCAGGUAUAUCCCAAGCAUUUUCUGGAGUAAAUAUUUCAAGCAUUAAAUUUAUCUUGGUAGUCGAAUUAUAUUUUUAAUGUAAGCCACAAAAAGUGUAUGCUCUGUGUCCGUAGAAAUAUCACAACUGUUGCAUCACACAAAAGUUCAUCUUGCAAAAGUAGUUCCAUUUUGUGUGGAGCUAUGAACAAAAAAAUAUAAUGUCUACUUAGAAUCAGUUAUAGGUACAAAUUUUGUUUCAGUUGCACAGCAUGUUGAUAUGUUUAUUAGUAGUGUCUCUGCAAACUUUUCUAAAGUGUACUUAGAAAGGCCUUUAUUCCAGAAUAUUUCAUCGAUUUGAGAAUAUAUUUUUUCAAUUUUCUUAUGCAGAAAUUCUUAUUCUAUAGCAAUGCUAAGGAGAACUGGUAGUAUUUGUAAGGUCAGAGAUCUGCGGUAUUCCAAUAAGGCUACUUUUCAUAUGACAAUGCAUUUAAUAUUGACACACAUCUUAAUCUUUUCCUUUUUUUUUUUUUUUUUUUUUUUUUUUUUUUAUAACUAACGAUGUUGUGAAUCAGACAGAUAAUUUAUUCUGGUAAUACACAUUUUUCAAGCAAAACAUUAAAAUUACUUUACAAUUGAAACCCAGUUAUUAAAGAAAAUAUGCCAUUCAAGGCUAAUUCUAAGAGCAAAUUCCUACACCUAUAGAUUACAUGCCCCAUGUAGUCUAUAAAAAUAGACAGUAUGUAUGUUAGAUGAUUUUUCAAGGAAUCAUAGGAGCGCUUAUAAGUAAUUCAAAUAUUGUAUUUCACAACUAUCAUUAAAUAAGGAGAAUAUGACUUACCUUACCUUAAGUUUUGUAAAUGUUUUCUAAGAGCAAAUUGGGUAUCAAGCUUACUAAAAUUGACUGUGGAAAGUCAUUUCCCUAAAGCACUUUCAUGCUUUUUAUUUUUUCAUGUGAAGCAAGCUCAGUUAGUUUUCAAAUUAUGAAAAUAACAGAGAUCACUUUGCUAAAGAUAGAACUUAAUUUUUAAAAAUUUGAAAGUUAAAUUUGCUCAGAAUUUGCUUUGGUAUCUGAUGGUGUAUAUUUUGUAAUUGAGAAAUUAGUAGGGAAUAUAAAAAGAAAAGAAGCUACGUGCUACUAAGGCAUAAAGUUCUGAUUUAACCUACCAAUGACCUGGCUUUGUUUGUUCAGAUGACAGUUCUAAAAGUGUGCAGAGAAUAUUCCCUUUUAAUACAGUUAUUUGCCGCAAGCCCUGACCUCACUGCCUGUCAGGGAGCAGGUCUGAAUUGGCCCUUUCUCUGAUAUCGUGACAUAGCUUCUGUUGCCUCGAUUGUGACCUCUGAUUGCAUGAUACCCCUGAGAGUUCAAUUUAAUAAGCGUGACUCCUGACUCUUAGCCAGGUCUGCCUUCUUAGGUUUUGUCAGACUCUGUAGACCAGAGUACAAGCAUAUGCUAAAACAUUGCAUAGGCUGUCAUCAUACUGUGUGAGUUGUGUGCACUGUAUUCAACGUUCUCUUUCAAAGAUAUUUCAUUUAUUGCAAAUGGAAAUAUUUAUAAAAAAUGACUUGGAAUAAAUUUUAAUAAUUUAAGCAUCGUUAUAACUGCUCAGUAUUUUUAUAUUUAUUCCUUUGCAAAUAGUUACUACUAUUUCAGUUUUGCUAAGCAUGCAUGUUAUGUAUGUCAUGCUAAUUUCUUUCUUUGAAAUGUGUUUUAUUUCCCCUAUGAAAGCAUUAUGUUUCUAUGACUUCCAAUCAGUAAUGCGUUUGUUCAUUAUAGAAGUAUUUGAGGUGAAUUCCCUUUUUUUUUAUUGCGUAAUUAAUACGUUGCACAAUGAGACAGUACUGACAAGCACCCUGAGAACAAGUCAGGUGAAAACUGAAGAAUCUGAUUGGAAUUUGGAAGAAGAAUCAUGAAGGAGACUGUUCAGAGACCUGGCUACCUUGAGGAUGAUGAUGCUGUUGAGACAUGCUUCAGUUUUAGUAUACCUUGAUGCAUUCGCUGAAGCAGACUGUGGAGAAGUUCAAAGAUUUGAAAGAAAGUUUCAAGAACUGUGUUACAAGUGGCAGAAGUUUAUCUGUUUACUAAUGUAUAUUUUUGUAUUCUCAUUCCUAUUUCAUGUAUCUUUUUCUACUCUUUAUAUCAGUAUCUCUAAUGUACCCUUUCUAAUGUACUGUAUUUACGUUUACAGACAAGAGAAGCAGAAAAAUCUUGCUGCAGCAAACGAAUAUUUGCUCACUUUUAUGGUUACAUUAAGGGAAUUUCUGUAAAUACUUUUUUAUAUUUCUCCACUUCAAAUGUUUUAAAGAACUCUAUUUACCUUUCUACUCAGAUUCCUUUCUUUUACAAUUGGUCAUGUAUGAAGAAUGGAAACUAUAUUAGAAUCUUUCUUACAAAAUAUGUUAUCCAAUAUAAGGCAUUAUCUUUUUACAUUCAAACUUCCUAUGAAAUGCUUUUCAUUCUUCAUAACAGUGAGCAUUACAAAUGCUACCUAUUUUGGUCAGGUAAAUCUUUUUUUAAUUGUUUCAUUUUGCUUUGUAUUUUGUUUUGCUUUGAUUCAUGUAUCUUUUGUAAGAAUUCUUGUGUGAGUUAAUAUAAUCAUCUUGUUUAGUUCACAAAAUUGUGAAACCUUUGAUUAUCUGUUCCCUUAUUCUGUAGUAAAUUUUAUACAGUAAACUACUGAAGUUCUUUAGUAUCAAGUGUAAGUUCACUCACCUAAUUGGACUUCAUGAACUUUCACUCUUUUUUGGAGCCUGUGCUAAUUUUCAGAUACUUAGGUAAGUGGCUGCAAGUAAGCAAAAUUGAACAACUGACAAAACAAAUAAAAUAAACUUUCAGGUUUAUUAGUUAUGGUUGUCUUAACAGCUUUAUCAAUUAUAAACACGAGGGAAAUUUAGCCAUUCAGGAUCACUGUGCUAUUUAACUUAUUUAUAUGUCAGUCAGGUGGAGUUUGGUGAGCAAUACAACUUAGAAAUUUAGAAAGAAAGAGUCUAAUUUAGACACCUACUUUAUGAGUGAAAUAUUACUAAUCAAGCUUAGGGAUAAUGAAAUUAUGUUCAGUAGUAAGACUGGCGUGGUUGCUUGUUUGUUUUCUCAUUAGAAAUAAUUUAAAUAAAGGUCAAAACAAAAGUCACUAAUGGAACAGAAAAGGAAUAAAUUCCUUUUUCUUCAUUCAGUGAGGUGAAUCAUUCAAGCCUCCCUGCAUAAAUAUAAAAUGAUGCCAUGGUAACAAUAACUGAUUCAAAAUCAAUAUAAUCAAGUUAAAUUCCCAUAGAGCCAAAUACUCUUGAGUGUGUGUUAUUUAACUAAAAUUAUAUAUACUAUGUUUAAGUUGUUGCACUCUCCAUGUGUUUACAAGCUGAAAAUUUCAAUCCGCUUAGUAAAGAACUCUGUAAAACUGGUAAACUCUUUGAGCCACAUCAAUUAAGAAUUAACCUGGGGCAAGUUUCCAGCAAAUCACAGUUGGUUUUUUGUUUGUUUGUUUGUUUUUAAUUUUUUUCCCCUCUACCUGUCCUUUUUUACGAAUUAAAUUCCCUUUUAUGAAUAAAUCCAUGAAACAGUGGAAUUUCAGAUUGUUUAUUUUCUUCCAUGAUGUAUCAGACAAUUAAAUAUAACUUAUUAAGAACUGG
This is a long non-coding RNA of Gallus gallus (chicken), 11101 nucleotides long. RefSeq lists it as uncharacterized. Lineage: Eukaryota; Metazoa; Chordata; Aves; Galliformes; Phasianidae. The transcript has 2 exons. The record is from RefSeq and is a predicted model, not a curated record.